Molecule: ribosomal RNA, 253 nt
Filed under: uncultured bacterium
Lineage: Bacteria
Description: partial 16S ribosomal RNA
Rfam family: Bacterial small subunit ribosomal RNA
Source: RNAcentral
UACGGAGGGAGCAAGCGUUGUUCGGAAUUACUGGGCGUAAAGCGCGUGCAGGCGGCCGAUUAAGUCCGGUGUGAAAGCCCGGGGCUCACCCCCGGAAGUGCGCUGGAAACUGAUCGGCUAGAGUACGGGAGAGGGAAGCGGAAUUCCUGGUGUAGCGGUGAAAUGCGUAGAUAUCAGGAGGAACACCGGCGGCGAAGGCGGCUUCCUGGACCGAUACUGACGCUGAGACGCGAAAGCGUGGGGAGCAAACAGG